This 1922-nucleotide long non-coding RNA is filed under the name Homo sapiens (human). Its description in RNAcentral is "HSALNT0355046". Lineage: Eukaryota; Metazoa; Chordata; Mammalia; Primates; Hominidae. The record is from RNAcentral.
AAUGAGCCAAGUGCUUUACAAGGCUGACCUAUUUCAAUCCAACAGCAUACCGAAGAGGGAGGCAUAUUGAUCCCCCUUUUACGGGAAACAGUGAGGUUGAUGCAUUUGCCCAAGAUCACACAGCUCUUGGGGAGUGGAGCCUGACUUUGAAUUUAGGCCGCCCGCCCCCAGAGCCUGUGUUCUUGGCCAUCCUUCUUCGCACCUGGCUUAGAGACCCAGGCUCUGCAUAGAGGGGCCCAGUGAUCUUGGGUUAGUCCCUUAAGCCCCAGCCUAGCAAAAGGGAAAGGAAAUAUCUUCAGCACCCAGUGAGGGGGAGCUCAGAGAGGGGACCCCUUUUACUACAGGGCACACAGCCGGCUGAGCCAGGACCCACCACACUCAACUCCCCGGCCCCUGGCUCCCAGGAGGUGGCUCCUCCAUGGCCGGGAAGGACCCCCACGGCUGCUCCCGCAGGCAGAUGGACAGACGAUGGCCCCCUCCCACGGCCUGCGGGCUGUGUGGCAUCGCCACCUCCUCCCGAGCAGGCUGCCUUUAAGAAACCAGAAGAUUGAUUUCCUGGCAGGCUCUACGCCGAGGAGCCCGUCCAAAUGGUUUGCAUGUCUGCAUUUUUUACUGCUCCGUUUAAUAUGUAUGCAAAUGCCGGCCGGCUGCGCCCGCCGCGCGGCUGCACAGUCACACGCGGCGCCCCAUUAAAGCGGCCGUCCCGGGCGCGCGCCUCAUUCGAGGCGACGGGCUCCGGGCCCUGAUAGAUGGGGUGCGGGGACGGAGACAAAUGACGGCCUUUGGGCUCGGAAUACCCACCUUUCUGGUAAUGCAGCCCAGCGGGUCCCAGCCUCGUUUUCCAGCCCUCACUCAAAAUGGAGUCGCUCUGGUUCGAACGCCUCUGACAAGUGUGUACCUACGUGUCAGGAUUUGCCGGGUGCUGGGCCCCAGAAGCCAGCCCUCCUGACGUGUGGCGGCCGUCCUCACCGCUCCCUCCUUCCCUGCAGCAUUCCCCAGCCCCCGGCCCACCCUCCUCCCACCCGCUUCCUGACCCAGGCUCCCGGGCCUUCCCCUCGUGGCCACCUAGCUGUGUGCUUUGUUUGGCUGCUGUCACCCCCAGGAAGGUGAUCCCCGUGAGAACUCAAAUAGCAGAUGCUCAUCUGGGACCCCCGCCUCCAGCCCCAGGGGAGGUUUCCUGGUCCUCACUGUGGCCGGGGCAUGGCUCCUUCACCCCGGGGCUCACCCUCGGUGUCCGUGAAGUCCAGCCGACGGUGACCCUAAGUCCUCCCUCCACUCGCCUAUGUUUGGGGAUAGCCCAUCCUUCCUGCAGGCCUUUGUCUUGGUGUCACCCUGCCUGAGCUGGCCCCAACCACAGUAGCAACAGUGAUGCUGAUGUGUGACUGCUGCCAGGAGCCUGCUCACAUGACCGUGUGGAGAAAGUUCUUUCCCUGAGGACCAUCUGGAGUGGACGCGUGCACUACCCCUCUCUGAAUACACCCUCCCCACGAGGCCCUCUGGAGCAUCCUGUAGAGCCAGCCCCUACCCAGAGACCCUGAGCCCAGAGAAUGCGCUGGGUGGUGAGCCUGGGGACGAAUGCAGAGCCCUAGGUCUCCUCUCCAGAAGUUGGAGUGCCAUGGUGUGGUCAUAGCCCACUGAAGCCUCAAACCUCUGGGCUGAAGCCAUCCUUCCGCCUCAGCCUCCCAAGUAGCUGGGACCAUAGGUGCAUGGCACUGUGCCUGGCACUGUCUGAAUGCAUACAGCUGCGUAGCAUCGUGGUAAGAACACCCGCCCUGACAUCACACAGACCUGCAUCCACGUCCCAGCUGAGCCUCAGUUCUCACAUCUGCAAAAUGGGGAGAACAACAGCAGCAGCGUCCUGAGGCUGGGGUGAGGACCGAGUGAAAAACCUUUGUCGCAUCUUUGGGCAUCGCAGGAGUUCA